This 253-nucleotide ribosomal RNA is filed under the name uncultured bacterium. RNAcentral's name for it is "partial 16S ribosomal RNA". It matches the Rfam family "Bacterial small subunit ribosomal RNA", at positions 524 to 776 of the family's 1533-position model. The record is from RNAcentral.
UACGUAGGGUGCGAGCGUUAAUCGGAAUUACUGGGCGUGAAGCGUGCGCAGGCGGCGCCGCAAGUCAGGCGUGAAAUCCCCGAGCUUAACUUGGGAAUGGCGCUUGAAACUACGGUGCUGGAGUGUGGCAGAGGGAGGUGGAAUUCCACGUGUAGCGGUGAAAUGCGUAGAGAUGUGGAGGAACACCGAUGGCGAAGGCAGCCUCCUGGGCCAACACUGACGCUCAUGCACGAAAGCGUGGGGAGCAAACAGG